AGUGAACGCUGGCGGUAGGCCUAACACAUGCAAGUCGAACGGCAGCACAGUAAGAGCUUGCUCUUACGGGUGGCGAGUGGCGGACGGGUGAGGAAUACAUCGGAAUCUACUUUUUCGUGGGGGAUAACGUAGGGAAACUUACGCUAAUACCGCAUACGACCUACGGGUGAAAGCAGGGGAUCUUCGGACCUUGCGCGAUUGAAUGAGCCGAUGUCGGAUUAGCUAGUUGGCGGGGUAAAGGCCCACCAAGGCGACGAUCCGUAGCUGGUCUGAGAGGAUGAUCAGCCCCACUGGAACUGAGACACGGUCCAGACUCCUACGGGAGGCAGCAGUGGGGAAUAUUGGACAAGGGGCGCAAGCCUGAUCCAGCCAUACCGCGUGGGUGAAGAAGGCCUUCGGGUUGUAAAGCCCUUUUGUUGGGAAAGAAAAGCAGCAGGUUAAUACCCCGCUGUUCUGACGGUACCCAAAGAAUAAGCACCGGCUAACUUCGU
RNAcentral lists this ribosomal RNA (491 nucleotides) under uncultured bacterium. RNAcentral describes it as "partial 16S ribosomal RNA". It matches the Rfam family "Bacterial small subunit ribosomal RNA", at positions 29 to 506 of the family's 1533-position model. The record is from RNAcentral.